GAUGAACGCUGGCGGCGUGCUUAACACAUGCAAGUCGAGCGAAGCAGUUAAGAAGAUUCUUCAGAUGAUUCUUAACUGACUGAGCGGCGGACGGGUGAGUAACGCGUGGGUGACCUGCCCCAUACCGGGGGAUAACAGCUGGAAACGGCUGCUAAUACCGCAUAAGCGCACAGAGCUGCAUGGCUCGGUGUGAAAAACUCCGGUGGUAUGGGAUGGGCCCGCGUCUGAUUAGGCAGUUGGCGGGGUAACGGCCCACCAAACCGACGAUCAGUAGCCGGCCUGAGAGGGCGACCGGCCACAUUGGGACUGAGACACGGCCCAAACUCCUACGGGAGGCAGCAGUGGGGAAUAUUGCACAAUGGGGGAAACCCUGAUGCAGCGACGCCGCGUGAGCGAAGAAGUAUUUCGGUAUGUAAAGCUCUAUCAGCAGGGAAGAUAAUGACGGUA
This 447-nucleotide ribosomal RNA is filed under the name uncultured bacterium. Its description in RNAcentral is "bacterial SSU rRNA". It matches the Rfam family "Bacterial small subunit ribosomal RNA", at positions 28 to 477 of the family's 1533-position model. The record is from RNAcentral.